RNAcentral lists this long non-coding RNA (726 nucleotides) under Dromaius novaehollandiae (emu). Its description in RNAcentral is "lncRNA (ENSDNVG00000013637.1)". Lineage: Eukaryota; Metazoa; Chordata; Aves; Casuariiformes; Dromaiidae. The record is from RNAcentral.
AGUCAUCUAACUAUUUGUAAUGAAACAAGGUCAUCUUCUUUUCACAGAUGGGAGAGCUAAAGGAACAGGAAUGUGAAGUUACUAGCUGAAAGCUAUAUAGCAGGCCAGUACCAAAUCCAGGAAUAGAAGCCAAGUCUCCUAAGUUGCAGUCUGAUGCUAUAAUAAAGAAGAAAUUUUGCCCUCUGAUGUUACAAUGAGGGUGCUGAGCAUCUGCCCUUCACCUUGCCUUUAUGGAAGACUUUAUAGAAGACUGCGUCUCAGAAAAAGGAAAUAAAGUUGUGUAUGUCCAACAAGGAUUUUCUUGGAAGUCACUUUUGGAAAUACUGCUGUAAAUGCACUGGAAGGAUCAAAAGCUCAAGUCUGGCUCCAGUUUAGCUGGGGGGAAGCCUACUACUGAAGACCCAAGAGACAGAGAUGCUGCAGAUACGGAAGCCCAUUACAGAGCCUAAUGCUGCCUGCCAUAUUGAGGAAUGUUUGUCACAAUUUUUGCAAAGGAUGAACCCCAAGGCAUGGCUGCCAUGGUUGUCUGAAACAAGAAACAGACACCCUUUUCAUUUCAUUCAUUUCACUGCUCAUUGGCAAUCUGAGCCUAAGUGAAGGCAGAAGAYGACUCCUACAGAGAACUUCGAGUGGUUUGUCCCUUAAGAAGCGGGUAACGAGUUUUUUAAUGUUUUUACCAAAUACCAGAACACAUGAUAAAAGUUUAUGGAUUGUGAAUUAAUUGCA